CCUCAUAUGGUGCUUCCAUGAUGUCGGAGCAUGGGCAAGACUAUGAUUGGAUGAAUCAGCCUAUCGAUCCUCAGGUUGUGUAUGCUAGUGGAGGCGGAAAACCUCAUGGACGUUACCCCAUGUUUGGUAGUGUUAUCGACUCGACUCAGGUGAGGCCUGAAAGGUCUCGUCCAUCGAGGUCGUCUAGCCGUGGUCCUCGCUCUAGUACCCAAGGAAACGCCGAGCUGAUCCGGAUGCAGGAAGCUUUGAGGCGGCAGGAGGAGUAUAACAAGCAACAACAAGAGUACUGGGCUGCUCAAUUUGCACGACAGCAGGAGAUGAUGCAGCAAAUAGCACUAGGGCAACGUCCAGAUUUUUCAGCGAUGACUAUGCCACCUCCUCCACCUAUCCCGCAGUUUGUACCGACUCCACAAUUUAGUUGGCCCACACCUGCACCUCAGGUCCCUCCAGGAAACUUGCUAACUCCGGGAAAUGAGGACUCUGAAGAUGCGGUCGCUUCUUUUGUGGACGGUCUUCUAAACAGUGGAGGAGCUAGCGGAUCAAAUCAACCACAUCCAUUUGAUCAACCUCCUCCAUUUGAGUAGCC
RNAcentral lists this unclassified non-coding RNA (586 nucleotides) under Zea mays. Its description in RNAcentral is "misc RNA Zm00001eb189930". The record is from RNAcentral. Lineage: Eukaryota; Viridiplantae; Streptophyta; Magnoliopsida; Poales; Poaceae.